GAAUGCUGACAUAAGUAACGAUAAAGCGGGUGAAAAGCCCGCUCGCCGGAAGACCAAGGGUUCCUGUCCAACGUUAAUCGGGGCAGGGUGAGUCGACCCCUAAGGCGAGGCCGAAAGGCGUAGUCGAUGGGAAACGGGUUAAUAUUCCCGUACUUGGUGUUACUGCGAAGGGGGGACGGAGAAGGCUAUGUUGGCCGGGCGACGGUUGUCCCGGUUUAAGCGUGUAGGUGUGUGUUCCAGGUAAAUCCGGUUCACUUUAACACUGAGGCGUGACGACGAGGCACUACGGUGCUGAAGCAACAAAUGCCCUGCUUCCAGGAAAAGCCUCUAAGCAUCAGGUAACAUCAAAUCGUACCCCAAACCGACACAGGUGGUCAGGUAGAGAAUACCAAGGCGCUUGAGAGAACUCGGGUGAAGGAACUAGGCAAAAUGGUGCCGUAACUUCGGGAGAAGGCACGCUGACACGUAGGUGAAGUGAUUUACUCAUGGAGCUGAAGUCAGUCGAAGAUACCAGCUGGCUGCAACUGUUUAUUAAAAACACAGCACUGUGCAAACACGAAAGUGGACGUAUACGGUGUGACGCCUGCCCGGUGCCGGAAGGUUAAUUGAUGGGGUCAGCGCAAGCGAAGCUCCUGAUCGAAGCCCCGGUAAACGGCGGCCGUAACUAUAACGGUCCUAAGGUAGCGAAAUUCCUUGUCGGGUAAGUUCCGACCUGCACGAAUGGCGUAAUGAUGGCCAGGCUGUCUCCACCCGAGACUCAGUGAAAUUGAACUCGCUGUGAAGAUGCAGUGUACCCGCGGCAAGACGGAAAGACCCCGUGAACCUUUACUAUAGCUUGACACUGAACAUUGAGCCUUGAUGUGUAGGAUAGGUGGGAGGCUUUGAAGUGUGGACGCCAGUCUGCAUGGAGCCGACCUUGAAAUACCACCCUUUAAUGUUUGAUGUUCUAACGUGGACCCGUUACCCGGGUUGCGGACAGUGUCUGGUGGGUAGUUUGACUGGGGCGGUCUCCUCCUAAAGAGUAACGGAGGAGCACGAAGGUUGGCUAAUCCUGGUCGGACAUCAGGAGGUUAGUGCAAUGGCAUAAGCCAGCUUGACUGCGAGCGUGACGGCGCGAGCAGGUGCGAAAGCAGGUCAUAGUGAUCCGGUGGUUCUGAAUGGAAGGGCCAUCGCUCAACGGAUAAAAGGUACUCCGGGGAUAACAGGCUGAUACCGCCCAAGAGUUCAUAUCGACGGCGGUGUUUGGCACCUCGAUGUCGGCUCAUCACAUCCUGGGGCUGAAGUAGGUCCCAAGGGUAUGGCUGUUCGCCAUUUAAAGUGGUACGCGAGCUGGGUUUAGAACGUCGUGAGACAGUUCGGUCCCUAUCUGCCGUGGGCGCUGGAGAACUGAGGGGGGCUGCUCCUAGUACGAGAGGACCGGAGUGGACGCAUCACUGGUGUUCGGGUUGUCAUGCCAAUGGCACUGCCCGGUAGCUAAAUGCGGAAGAGAUAAGUGCUGAAAGCAUCUAAGCACGAAACUUGCCCCGAGAUGAGUUCUCCCUGAGACUUAAAGUCUCCUGAAGGAACGUUGAA
This 1572-nucleotide ribosomal RNA is filed under the name Salmonella enterica. RNAcentral's name for it is "partial 23S ribosomal RNA". It matches the Rfam family "Bacterial large subunit ribosomal RNA", at positions 1292 to 2842 of the family's 2925-position model. RNAcentral also lists the same sequence under 1 other name. The record is from RNAcentral. Lineage: Bacteria; Pseudomonadati; Pseudomonadota; Gammaproteobacteria; Enterobacterales; Enterobacteriaceae.